RNAcentral lists this ribosomal RNA (460 nucleotides) under uncultured bacterium. RNAcentral's name for it is "partial 16S ribosomal RNA". It matches the Rfam family "Bacterial small subunit ribosomal RNA", at positions 338 to 795 of the family's 1533-position model. The record is from RNAcentral.
CCUACGGGUGGCAGCAGUGAGGAAUAUUGGUCAAUGGACGCAAGUCUGAACCAGCCAUGCCGCGUGCAGGAUGACUGCUCUAUGAGUUGUAAACUUCUUUUGUACGAGGGUAAACCCCGAUACGUGUAUCUGUUUGCAAGUAUCUUACGAAUAAGGAUCGGCUAACUCCGUGCCAGCAGCCGCGGUAAUACGGAGGAUCCGAGCGUUAUCCGGAUUUAUUGGGUUUAAAGGGUGCGUAGGCGGUUUGAUAAGUUAGAGGUGAAAGGUUGGGGCUCAACCGCGAAACUGCCUCUGAUACUGUUAGACUAGAGAAUAGUUGCGGUAGGCGGAAUGUAUGGUGUAGCGGUGAAAUGCUUAGAGAUCAUACAGAACACCGAUUGCGAAGGCAGCUUACCAAACUAUGUCUGACGUUGAGGCACGAAAGCGUGGGUAGCAAACAGGAUUAGAUACCCGAGUAGUC